CCGUCGUCGAACUGCCAGGCUUUCUGAGUAUAGAGGAGGCUAUGAUAAUGUGAAAGGGUUCCGGACAACGAGGCGAGUGAGGCUUGAUGUUCGCGUGCGCUGGUGAGGUGGGAGCUACCACCGACGCCUGUCUCUGCGAAGCCACUUGUCACUGUGGGUGCGGACUUCCAGCCGUCUGUCGCGCCGCCGCCAUGAUUCAUCGGCGUCGGCCUUGCCACAACGUCACUCUCUCCGACUAAGCCGGCCUCGAGGCGAGCGCUCCCAAACUGGGCCACGACCGCCGACGCCAAUGGAUUGCGUGCUCUCGCGAAGCACGCCUGCGGAGAAAAACAGUCGAGUCGUUCGCCCACGCCGCGAUCGACCGGAUGAAGACGGGCUGAACCCUCUUGGGAUCAUCCGGAAUGUGGACGGUUCGCUCGAUCGACAGUGAACUGGAAACUUGGAAAACGACGUACCAGAUGCCUAAGACGGGUGUCACCCUCAGCGAGGACUCCAGUCCAACCCGAACGCAGCACUCCUGUUCAAUCCCUGUCUGCUGAAGACCGCCAUCUAGGGCCCAGUAUUCACAUUUCCACGCUCCUUGAUUAGCAGACUCUGGCUAAACAUUUUA
Ixodes scapularis (black-legged tick) is the source of this 610-nucleotide long non-coding RNA. RefSeq lists it as uncharacterized. The transcript has 2 exons. The record is from RefSeq and is a predicted model, not a curated record. NCBI's taxonomy places the organism in Eukaryota, Metazoa, Arthropoda, Arachnida, Ixodida, Ixodidae.